Molecule: ribosomal RNA, 201 nt
Filed under: uncultured Glomus
Lineage: Eukaryota; Fungi; Glomeromycota; Glomeromycetes; Glomerales; Glomeraceae
Description: partial 18S ribosomal RNA
Rfam family: Eukaryotic small subunit ribosomal RNA
Source: RNAcentral
AGCAGCCGCGGUAAUUCCAGCUCCAAUAGCGUAUAUUAAAGUUGCUGCAGUUAAAAAGCUCGUAGUUGGAUUUCUGGUCUGGUGCGCCUGGCCCGCCGCAUCAGCGUGUGAGUGCCGGGUCGCGCCUGCCAUCCUUCUAGAAAACAUAUCUACCCUUCACUGGGCCUGAUAUGCGAUCUAGAUCUUUUACUUUGAAAAAAU